UACAGAGGUCUCAAGCGUUGUUCGGAUUCAUUGGGCGUAAAGAGCGUGUAGGCGGCCAAACAGGUCCGUUGUGAAAACUGGAGGCUCAACUUCCAGACGUCGACGGAAACCGUAUGGCUAGAGUCCGGAAGAGGAGAGUGGAAUUCCUGGUGUAGCGGUGAAAUGCGCAGAUAUCAGGAAGAACACCAAUGGCGAAGGCAGCUCUCUGGGACGGUACUGACGCUGAGACGCGAAAGCGUGGGGAGCGAACAGG
This 253-nucleotide ribosomal RNA is filed under the name uncultured bacterium. RNAcentral's name for it is "partial 16S ribosomal RNA". It matches the Rfam family "Bacterial small subunit ribosomal RNA", at positions 524 to 776 of the family's 1533-position model. The record is from RNAcentral.